This is a long non-coding RNA of Equus caballus (horse), 2303 nucleotides long. NCBI's taxonomy places the organism in Eukaryota, Metazoa, Chordata, Mammalia, Perissodactyla, Equidae. The record is from Ensembl.
AUUUCUUUUGAUCUUCCCUUUUUUGUCUUGCACUUUUAAAAUUAUUUUUUGCCUUCUAUAGUUUUAACUGAGCAUUUCAUAUGAUUCCACUUUUUCUUUUAGUGUGUCAAUUAGAUUUCUUUACAGUUUUUAAAUGGUUUCCAUAGAGCUUACAAUUUAAAUUUACAACUAACCUCACUUCACUUUGAAAGGACACUGUUUCUUCAUGGUUAAUGCGGGUCCCUAUGACAGAGUCCUCCCGAUUCCUCCCUCCCAUCCCGUGUAAAAUGGCGCCACUUGUUCAUAAACUAUUAUCACCAAGUGUAUUUUACAAUGAUUAUUUUGAACAAGAUGAACCUGUUAGAUCAGUUUAGAAUAAGAAAAACUGAACACUGUUUUAUUUUUCCUUUGAUUAUUCCUUCUCUAAGUUCCCUACAUCCAUUAGCUGAGUUUUCCUGUGGGUGGGGAAAACCCAGCCCUGAUCCCAUUUCAGGAAGAGAUGGGAAACCCCUUCUUAGACAGUUUGGCUGAGCUUUUGCUUUUUAACAUCAUUCUGGAAGCGUGUUCUAAUGGCGGAACAACUGCUGCUGCCAAGAGCAUCUCCGGGAGCGCUGCCCAGAAGGUGUCCCAGGGAGGGAUGGGUCUCUGCUGGACACGGGUCCCCUGCCCCCUCCGCCCCAGCCUGCCCCCUCCACCGCUGCCUAGAAGCCCCAAGGUGAGGAGACAGACCUGAACCCUCUAACCGGGCACCUGCUGUCUGAAGAUCGGAGUCCAACUCCGAGUCCGAACCCUCCUCGGCCCCCGGGACCCCUGCAGGAAGCCCAGGGGCCGCCGCCUCCUCCUCCUGCUCUUCACUCUCCUCCGACCUCUCGCAGCUUCUCGUGUGCGGCUUCCUCCACCAGGAACAUCCCUCCCCAGCUUCGCUUGUUGAACUUCAGAUUCUGCAGUGUCAGCUCAGAGGGCCCUUCUUCCUGAAGCUUUCCUUGGCCCCUCCUGGGCUCUGCCACCACCAUGGCACCCUCUCAAAUUACCUAUAACCCUGUCAUCCCCUCACCCCCAAGGAAGUGAGGUCAAAGGACAGGGGAGAGGGGCUGCUCCUGUCGGUGCCCCAGGGCCCCGCAGAUGGAGUGUGGGGAGGAAGGGAGGCCCAGGGCAGCUGGGGUUUGGGACUGAGCCCAGGGCUGGGGUGGGGCUGGAUCCUGCCCCGAGUGUCCCUUUAACAGCUGGCCUGGCCUGGCCUGGCCUCGGCCCCUGCUUUGCCUCCUGUUCAGCUGGGGCUGCAGCUGCUGUGCUGACUCCUGCUCCCAGCAGCCAGCAGGAGCUGAGAGCAGGGGCUCCCCAGGGGCCUGGACAGGCUGGGGCUUCUGGAUUACAAAACUGAGAAGUGGGCCCUUCCCACCAGAGAAGGCUACCAGGAGCCGACCAUGGACCCCCAGGUUUCCGUCAUCACCAAACUCAAAGGGGUUUCCAUGACCCAGAAAAGGAGCUGGGGAACCGGUGGUGGGACAUGGUGACUUUGUGAAGCUGCCACAGCUCAACCCGAAUUCUCCAUGAGCCUCAUGCUUCCAGGCACUGAGGAUCCAGAGCUAAAUUGGGCCGGGCGCCCGCCCAGGCUAGUGGGGAGGUGGACCCCUCAUUGCAUGCAUGGCUGGGGGCCAGCGGAGCAGGUGGUGAGCUCUGCCUAGGAAAAAGCAUGGGCUGUGGGGAAGGGUGGCUGGCACCAUGUGCUACCCAUGACAGUUCUGCAUGUGUCGGGGAUGCACACCCAGGAAGGGAGGGGAGGGCUGGGCAGCGGUCAGGAUCUGCAGGGACUAGGUGGCCGCCAUCAUGGAAAAGGAGCCUCCAAGGGUGGCAAGCAAAGGCUGGCAGGCUCUGAUGGUGUUACCUGUGAAAGCUCAGCCUGGCUGCUACGUGAAGUGCACCGGGGGUCCACAAGAAGACCACAGGGACAGCAGAGCCAUGUCUGUGCCAGUGCCUGACACUUGAGGGUGCUUCCUCUCCCAGGUCUGGGACUCCCAGAGAGCUUGUCCCCAUCCCCUCCUGGCUGAUGCCCAGAACUCUGUGACCUUGUGCAGGCACUAAUGUCCCUGUUUACAGCAGAACAAGUCAGGAAGGGACUGGCCUGUGGUUCCUUGGCCAGUGUGUGGGGUCCAUGUCCCUAGAGACCACUCUGAGGAGGGUCCCGCCCCUUGUGUGCCACGCCCAGCAUGUCCACCCUGGCAUGACUCACCCUCCCAGAGUCCCUCCACGGUCCCUAUUCUGUCAUCUGAAUUGGACCAGAGGAGCUGGGCCUCGAGGAGUCACUUCUGCCCCUCCCCCGGAGA